Long non-coding RNA from Megalobrama amblycephala (Wuchang bream), 360 nucleotides. RefSeq lists it as uncharacterized. The transcript is spliced from 3 exons. Lineage: Eukaryota; Metazoa; Chordata; Actinopteri; Cypriniformes; Xenocyprididae. The record is from RefSeq and is a predicted model, not a curated record.
CUGUCAUUUUUGUUGUGUUUGUUUUGUUAUUGAGAGAAAAGCGCGCGGAAUUCAAAUAUUCAUCUAACCGUCGCUCUCAACAGCGUGGACGGCGUCGGGAUGUUCGCUAUCAGUAUUACUGCAAAGAAGAUGUUUGAGGGCUCAGAUUCGUCUCACCUUGGUUUCCUUCAGCAACACAGACGAGUGGAAGCAGAUGUGGUGAUGGGACACGUACAUCUUACCAUGAUGAUCACCUGCGUAUGACGCUGCCGUUGUGCUCCAGGAGCUCCGGAUGCGUCUCAUCUGGAUUCUGAAAGCUUCUGCUGUCUGAAGACCUUCUCAACAUGCUGCUCUUGGGCUUGGCUGUGAUUCCACCGAUCU